This is a long non-coding RNA of Astatotilapia calliptera (eastern happy), 1117 nucleotides long. Lineage: Eukaryota; Metazoa; Chordata; Actinopteri; Cichliformes; Cichlidae. The record is from Ensembl.
CUGAUCACACCUGCGAGAGAUCCCAGAGAGGCCAAUAAGAGGGCCUGACAGACCACAGCAAGGAGUUCGACCGAGAGGCUUGAGAGACGGCCAGGCGUAAGUGGUGCCAGGCGGCGGCGGCGGCGCCUGCAAGCCGAAGGGGCUGGUGGAGCUGGUGGAGCUGGGCGUUAGGAGGUGACCAGCGACUGGGGACGCGCCACCACCAGCGACUAGGGACGUGGAGUGAACAGGCGGACGGCAGUAGCAACGAGAGCCCAGCUUGUGCACUGCGGGAGAGCAGAGGCGGCGAGACAGCUGGUGCCGAUUUGCAGUUUUAAAGAAGCGGCGGGCGGAGUUGAGAGCUCUGCCCACCCGGGCGUACCAGGACGCGGAAUGCGGGGAGGAAGGCGAGGAUUCCGCUGGGUUCCCCUUUUACAUCACUUCGCUGGACUUUUUUAGUUCUUUGACUUUUAUAUCGUGGCGGAUCCCACUGGACUUUUAAUGUUGUUUUAUUGAUUUUUAUUGUGUUAUCCCUUGGCCAAGGUUGUUUUAAUUCAUUUUACAUUUUUAACUAUUUAAAUAUAAUAAAUUAUAUUUUUAAUCUUACAGUUUAAAUUGUGUGCUUUCCCUUGGCGGCUCCACUGCUCUGCCCGUUUUGAGGAAGGUUUCCUUCCUUCGCACAAAACCACUGUGGAAGUAAAAUCAGCCUUUCCGCUCCGUUACACAUACACACAGACAAUAAGUAUAAUUUCUAGGGUAAAGGUGAAAGACAUCUUGCUUUGUCUCUGCUUAGCAACUAGUGAUCCGGGGUCCACAGGAAGCAUCUGGAGGGGCCAGACAGCCAUAUAGGGAAAAAUGCUGUUGAACACGGAAACUUGUUGAACUGUCAUUAAUUAUAACCUAUACAUGUGAUGUUUUGUCUAAUGAUGUUUGUUUGUCUGAUGUUUUGUUUAACGCGAGAAGGGGCAUUAACCCUGACAUAAUAAAACAAUGUUGAAAGUAUGUUUUGACGGAAGAUCGGUGUUGGCAAUAUAGAGCUGUGUAUCUUUCCACACAUGUGUUUAAUAAAAUCAUUGUUUUGACGCACUUGGACCAGCAGUCGUUUGUCUCACACCUCAAUCACGAAUCGGGACAGGCC